CACACACACACACACACACACACACACACACACACACAGAGUCUGUGAUGGAAAGUUUUACUAAGAAGGACGAGCAUCAGGAGAUGAUCAGGCGUUGUCCAUCUAGCCAAGGGUGAACAUAAGACAAGGACAUGUGGAAAUUAAAGUUACAUCGGCCAUCUGUUUAUCCCACCCCAAGAGGGCGCCAUCACCUGAGUUUUGGACUUUGCUCUUCCUAUAUCUCUACUUCCUGUAGCCACCUGUUAAAAGCCAUCUGAAACGUGUAUCAUGUUGUGAAGUAUUGCCAGCUUACCACUGUCCCUACUGAGCAUUUUCGUUCAUCUUGCCUUGUUUGCCUCGUGUAUGUGUUAUUGCCUGUUCUUGACCUCGUCAAUUGGAUUACGAUUUGGAUUUGUUUGCUCUACGGAAUAUCUACCUGUUAUUGAACCACUGUCUGUUUAUCUAACCACGAUUCUCAGCCUUCCCCUUUGUUUGUACUGCUGUUUCUUAAUAAAUCUCUGCAUAUGGAUUCUAACACACAACCGAGUCAGUCUCCAACAUUACACUGUACACUGUAAAUAGAUUAAGUUAUACAUGGUGUACGAUUUUUUUUCUCCCUAUAUUGACCUAAAUAAAAGUUUCAGAAACAUCAUUAAUUUCCUUUGUUUCUAUCAUAUUUUCAAUUUUUUUAUUAUAAAAUCCUCACUGUGGGCAUUGUUUGGGUAAAAUGACUCAGUUUCUUUAGGACAGGAGUUACAUUUCAUGAUUGGAUAUGCAUGUUGUC
Molecule: long non-coding RNA, 763 nt
Organism: Tachysurus fulvidraco (yellow catfish)
Lineage: Eukaryota; Metazoa; Chordata; Actinopteri; Siluriformes; Bagridae
Exons: 3
Source: RefSeq, a predicted model, not a curated record